UGAGUAACCUGCCCUUAACUCUGGGAUAAGCCUGGGAAACUGGGUCUAAUACCGGAUAUGACUCCUCAUCGCAUGGUGGGGGUGGAAAGCUUUUUGUGGUUUUGGAUGGACUCGCGGCCUAUCAGCUUGUUGGUGGGGUAGUGGCCUACCAAGGCGACGACGGGUAGCCGGCCUGAGAGGGUGACCGGCCACACUGGGACUGAGACACGGCCCAGACUCCUACGGGAGGCAG
Molecule: ribosomal RNA, 232 nt
Filed under: uncultured bacterium
Lineage: Bacteria
Description: partial 16S ribosomal RNA
Rfam family: Bacterial small subunit ribosomal RNA
Source: RNAcentral